UAGAUGAUCGAUAAAUAUGGACUCUCGUGAAAGAUAUAGCAAAAGUCCAUGCUAUUUACAAUAAUGCUUCAUUACUAUAUGUCCAUGUUCAAACGUCUUCCUCCCUUCAACUGCAUGAUCGAUGGAGAUAAGUCGAUAUUUGAGGCAGCAUGCUCGCACAAUAGCUGGAAAGUCUCAGCUUUUUAUAAACUCUUAUGCUAAAGCUCUUGAGGAUUUAGAGUAGCUAUUGAAUUUCAUUGGUGCAGAAUAAAGUUGAUAUACAACAGGACGUCAAGCGAAACAUUAUGAUGUUUUGGUCUUUUUGUAGGUUUUUUUGUAUUUAAGGAAUUGAAGCAAUG
Alnus glutinosa is the source of this 338-nucleotide long non-coding RNA. RefSeq lists it as uncharacterized. The transcript has 3 exons. The record is from RefSeq and is a predicted model, not a curated record. NCBI's taxonomy places the organism in Eukaryota, Viridiplantae, Streptophyta, Magnoliopsida, Fagales, Betulaceae.